Molecule: ribosomal RNA, 492 nt
Filed under: uncultured bacterium
Lineage: Bacteria
Description: partial 16S ribosomal RNA
Rfam family: Bacterial small subunit ribosomal RNA
Source: RNAcentral
AGUGAACGCUGGCGGUAGGCCUAACACAUGCAAGUCGAACGGCAGCACAGUAAGAGCUUGCUCUUACGGGUGGCGAGUGGCGGACGGGUGAGGAAUACAUCGGAAUCUACUUUUUCGUGGGGGAUAACGUAGGGAAACUUACGCUAAUACCGCAUACGACCUACGGGUGAAAGCAGGGGAUCUUCGGACCUUGCGCGAUUGAAUGAGCCGAUGUCGGAUUAGCUAGUUGGCGGGGUAAAGGCCCACCGAGGCGACGAUCCGUAGCUGGUCUGAGAGGAUGAUCAGCCACACUGGAACUAAGACACGGUCCAGACUCCUACGGGAGGCAGCAGUGGGGAAUAUUGGACAAUGGGCGCAAGCCUGAUCCAGCCAUACCGCGUGGGUGAAGAAGGCCUUCGGGUUGUAAAGCCCUUUUGUUGGGAAAGAAAAGCAGCAGGUUAAUACCCCGCUGUUCUGACGGUACCCAAAGAAUAAGCACCGGCUAACUUCGUG